GAGGGUGUAGCUCAGUGGUAGAGUGUGUGCUGAGCAUGCACGAGGUCCUGGGUUCAAUUCCUAGUACCUCCA
Camelus ferus (Wild Bactrian camel) is the source of this 72-nucleotide transfer RNA. It matches the Rfam family "tRNA". From Rfam's summary of the family: Transfer RNA (tRNA) molecules are approximately 80 nucleotides in length. Their secondary structure includes four short double-helical elements and three loops (D, anti-codon, and T loops). Further hydrogen bonds mediate the characteristic L-shaped molecular structure. tRNAs have two regions of fundamental functional importance: the anti-codon, which is responsible for specific mRNA codon recognition, and the 3' end, to which the tRNAs corresponding amino acid is attached (by aminoacyl-tRNA synthetases). tRNAs cope with the degeneracy of the genetic code in two manners: having more than one tRNA (with a specific anti-codon) for a particular amino acid; and 'wobble' base-pairing, i.e. permitting non-standard base-pairing at the 3rd anti-codon position. The record is from Rfam. Lineage: Eukaryota; Metazoa; Chordata; Mammalia; Artiodactyla; Camelidae.